Molecule: ribosomal RNA, 602 nt
Filed under: Theileria sergenti
Lineage: Eukaryota; Apicomplexa; Aconoidasida; Piroplasmida; Theileriidae
Description: SSU rRNA
Rfam family: Eukaryotic small subunit ribosomal RNA
Source: RNAcentral
GGUGAUUCAUAAUAAACUUGCGAAUCGCUUUACUUAGCGAUGUAUCAUUCAAGUUUCUGACCUAUCAGCUUUGGACGGUAGGGUAUUGGCCUACCGGGGCAACGACGGGUAACGGGGAAUUAGGGUUCGAUUCCGGAGAGGGAGCCUGAGAAAGGGCUACCACAUCUAAGGAGGGCAGCAGGCGCGCAAAUUACCCAAUCCUGACUCAGGGAGGUAGUGACAAGAAAUAACAAUACGGGGCUUAAUGUCUUGUAAUUGGAAUGAUGGGAAUUUAAACCUCUUCCAGAGUAUCAAUUGGAGGGCAAGUCUGGUGCCAGCAGCCGCGGUAAUUCCAGCUCCAAUAGCGUAUAUUAAAAUUGUUGCAGUUAAAAAGCUCGUAGUUGAAUUUCUGCUGCAUUACAUAUCUCUUGUUUGAGUUUGUUUUUGUGGCUUAUUUCGGUUUGAUUUUUUUAUCUUUCCGGAUGAUUACUUUGAGAAAAUUAGAGUGCUCAAAGCAGGCUUUUGCCUUGAAUAGUUUAGCAUGGAAUAAUAAAGUAGGACUUUGGUUCUAUUUUGUUGGUUUUAGGUACCAAAGUAAUGGUUAAUAGGAACAGUUGGGGGCA